Molecule: ribosomal RNA, 650 nt
Filed under: uncultured cf. Dermocybe
Lineage: Eukaryota; Fungi; Basidiomycota; Agaricomycetes; Agaricales; Cortinariaceae
Description: eukaryotic LSU rRNA
Rfam family: Eukaryotic large subunit ribosomal RNA
Source: RNAcentral
GUGACCUCAAAUCAGGUAGGACUACCCGCUGAACUUAAGCAUAUCAAUAAGCGGAGGAAAAGAAACUAACAAGGAUUCCCCUAGUAACUGCGAGUGAAGCGGGAAAAGCUCAAAUUUAAAAUCUGGCAGUCUCUGGUUGUCCGAGUUGUAAUCUAGAGAAGUGCUAUCCGCGCUGGACCGUGUACAAGUCUCCUGGAAUGGAGCGUCAUAGAGGGUGAGAAUCCCGUCUUUGACACGGACUGCCAGGGCUUUGUGAUGUGCUCUCAAAGAGUCGAGUUGUUUGGGAAUGCAGCUCAAAAUGGGUGGUAAAUUCCAUCUAAAGCUAAAUAUUGGCGAGAGACCGAUAGCGAACAAGUACCGUGAGGGAAAGAUGAAAAGAACUUUGGAAAGAGAGUUAAACAGUACGUGAAAUUGCUGAAAGGGAAACGCUUGAAGUCAGUCGCGUCGUCCAGGGAUCAACCUUGCUUUUGCUUGGUGCACUUUCUGGUUGACGGGUCAGCAUCAAUUUUGACCAUUGGAAAAAGAUUAGGGGAAUGUGGCAUCUUAGGAUGUGUUAUAGCCCUUGGUUGCAUACAAUGGUUGGGAUUGAGGAACUCAGCACGCCGCAAGGCCGGGUUUUUAACCACGUACGUGCUUAGGAUGCUGGCAUA